This 253-nucleotide ribosomal RNA is filed under the name uncultured bacterium. Its description in RNAcentral is "partial 16S ribosomal RNA". It matches the Rfam family "Bacterial small subunit ribosomal RNA", at positions 524 to 776 of the family's 1533-position model. The record is from RNAcentral.
UACGUAGGGUGCAAGCGUUAAUCGGAAUUACUGGGCGUAAAGCGUGCGCAGGCGGUUAUGCAAGACAGAUGUGAAAUCCCCGGGCUCAACCUGGGAACUGCAUUUGUGACUGCAUGGCUAGAGUACGGUAGAGGGGGAUGUAAUUCCGCGUGUAGCAGUGAAAUGCGUAGAUAUGCGGAGGAACACCGAUGGCGAAGGCAAUCCCCUGGACCUGUACUGACGCUCAUGCACGAAAGCGUGGGGAGCAAACAGG